CGAGGGUGCAAGCGUUAAUCGGAAUUACUGGGCGUAAAGCGAGUGUAGGCGGCGAUAUAAGUCGGAUGUGAAAGCCCUGGGCUCAACCUGGUAAUUGCAUUCGAUACUGUAUAGCUAGAAUUUGAGAGAGGGAAGUAGAAUUCCGGGUGUAGCGGUGAAAUGCGUAGAUAUCCGGAGGAAUACCAGUGGCGAAGGCGGCUUCCUGGCUCAAAAUUGACGCUGAGGCUCGAAAGCGUGGGGAGCAAACAGGAUUAGAUACCCGAGUAGUCC
Molecule: ribosomal RNA, 270 nt
Filed under: uncultured archaeon
Lineage: Archaea
Description: partial 16S ribosomal RNA
Rfam family: Bacterial small subunit ribosomal RNA
Source: RNAcentral